UUAAGCGACUAAGCGUACACGGUGGAUGCCCUGGCAGUCAGAGGCGAUGAAGGACGUGCUAAUCUGCGAAAAGCGUCGGUAAGGUGAUAUGAACCGUUAUAACCGGCGAUGUCCGAAUGGGGAAACCCAGUGUGAUUCGUCACACUAUCGUUAACUGAAUACAUAGGUUAACGAGGCGAACCGGGGGAACUGAAACAUCUAAGUACCCCGAGGAAAAGAAAUCAACCGAGAUUCCCCCAGUAGCGGCGAGCGAACGGGGAGCAGCCCAGAGUCUGAAUCAGCUUGUGUGUUAGUGGAACGGUCUGGAAAGUCCGACGGUACAGGGUGAUAGUCCCGUACACCAAAAUGCACAGGUUGUGAACUCGAAGAGUAGGGCGGGACACGUGGUAUCCUGUCUGAAUAUGGGGGGACCAUCCUCCAAGGCUAAAUACUCCUGACUGACCGAUAGUGAACCAGUACCGUGAGGGAAAGGCGAAAAGAACCCCGGCGAGGGGAGUGAAAAAGAACCUGAAACCGUGUACGUACAAGCAGUGGGAGCACCUUCGGGUGUGACUGCGUACCUUUUGUAUAAUGGGUCAGCGACUUAUAUUCUGUAGCAAGGUUAACCGUAUAGGGGAGCCGCAGGGAAACCGAGUCUUAACUGGGCGUUAAGUUGCAGGGUAUAGACCCGAAACCCGGUGAUCUAGCCAUGGGCAGGUUGAAGGUUGGGUAACACUAACUGGAGGACCGAACCGACUAAUGUUGAAAAAUUAGCGGAUGACUUGUGGCUGGGGGUGAAAGGCCAAUCAAACCGGGAGAUAGCUGGUUCUCCCCGAAAGCUAUUUAGGUAGCGCCUCGUGAAUUCAUCUUCGGGGGUAGAGCACUGUUUCGGCUAGGGGGUCAUCCCGACUUACCAACCCGAUGCAAACUACGAAUACCGAAGAAUGUUAUCACGGGAGACACACGGCGGGUGCUAACGUCCGUCGUGAAGAGGGAAACAACCCAGACCGCCAGCUAAGGUCCCAAAGUCAUGGUUAAGUGGGAAACGAUGUGGGAAGGCACAGACAGCCAGGAUGUUGGCUUAGAAGCAGCCAUCAUUUAAAGAAAGCGUAAUAGCUCACUGGUCGAGUCGGCCUGCGCGGAAGAUGUAACGGGGCUAAACCAUGCACCGAAGCUGCGGCAGCGACACUAUGUGUUGUUGGGUAGGGGAGCGUUCUGUAAGCCUGCGAAGGUGACCUGUGAGGCAUGCUGGAGGUAUCAGAAGUGCGAAUGCUGACAUAAGUAACGAUAAAGCGGGUGAAAAGCCCGCUCGCCGGAAGACCAAGGGUUCCUGUCCAACGUUAAUCGGGGCAGGGUGAGUCGACCCCUAAGGCGAGGCCGAAAGGCGUAGUCGAUGGGAAACAGGUUAAUAUUCCUGUACUUGGUGUUACUGCGAAGGGGGGACGGAGAAGGCUAUGUUAGCCGGGCGACGGUUGUCCCGGUUUAAGCAUGUAGGCUGAUUAUCCAGGCAAAUCCGGAUAAUCAAGGCUGAGGUGUGAUGACGAGGCACUACGGUGCUGAAGUAACAAAUGCCCUGCUUCCAGGAAAAGCCUCUAAGCAUCAGGUAACAUCAAAUCGUACCCCAAACCGACACAGGUGGUCAGGUAGAGAAUACCAAGGCGCUUGAGAGAACUCGGGUGAAGGAACUAGGCAAAAUGGUGCCGUAACUUCGGGAGAAGGCACGCUGGUGUGUAGGUGAAGCCCCUGCGGGUGGAGCUGAGACCAGUCGAAGAUACCAGCUGGCUGCAACUGUUUAUUAAAAACACAGCACUGUGCAAACACGAAAGUGGACGUAUACGGUGUGACGCCUGCCCGGUGCCGGAAGGUUAAUUGAUGGGGUUAUCCGUAAGGAGAAGCUCUUGAUCGAAGCCCCGGUAAACGGCGGCCGUAACUAUAACGGUCCUAAGGUAGCGAAAUUCCUUGUCGGGUAAGUUCCGACCUGCACGAAUGGCGUAAUGAUGGCCAGGCUGUCUCCACCCGAGACUCAGUGAAAUUGAACUCGCUGUGAAGAUGCAGUGUACCCGCGGCAAGACGGAAAGACCCCGUGAACCUUUACUAUAGCUUGACACUGAACAUUGAGCCUUGAUGUGUAGGAUAGGUGGGAGGCUUUGAAGCGUGGACGCCAGUCUGCGUGGAGCCAACCUUGAAAUACCACCCUUUAAUGUUUGAUGUUCUAACGUUGGCCCCUGACCGGGGUUGCGGACAGUGUCUGGUGGGUAGUUUGACUGGGGCGGUCUCCUCCCAAAGCGUAACGGAGGAGCACGAAGGUUAGCUAAUCCUGGUCGGACAUCAGGAGGUUAGUGCAAUGGCAUAAGCUAGCUUGACUGCGAGCGUGACGGCGCGAGCAGGUGCGAAAGCAGGUCAUAGUGAUCCGGUGGUUCUGAAUGGAAGGGCCAUCGCUCAACGGAUAAAAGGUACUCCGGGGAUAACAGGCUGAUACCGCCCAAGAGUUCAUAUCGACGGCGGUGUUUGGCACCUCGAUGUCGGCUCAUCACAUCCUGGGGCUGAAGUAGGUCCCAAGGGUAUGGCUGUUCGCCAUUUAAAGUGGUACGCGAGCUGGGUUUAGAACGUCGUGAGACAGUUCGGUCCCUAUCUGCCGUGGGCGCUGGAGAAUUGAGGGGGGCUGCUCCUAGUACGAGAGGACCGGAGUGGACGCAUCACUGGUGUUCGGGUUGUCAUGCCAAUGGCACUGCCCGGUAGCUAAAUGCGGAAGAGAUAAGUGCUGAAAGCAUCUAAGCACGAAACUUGCCCCGAGAUGAGUUCUCCCUGAGACUUUAAGUCUCCUGAAGGAACGUUGAAGACGACGACGUUGAUAGGCCGGGUGUGUAAGCGCAGCGAUGCGUUGAGCUAACCGGUACUAAUGAACCGUGAGGCUUAACCUU
Molecule: ribosomal RNA, 2900 nt
Filed under: Klebsiella pneumoniae BIDMC 33B
Lineage: Bacteria; Pseudomonadati; Pseudomonadota; Gammaproteobacteria; Enterobacterales; Enterobacteriaceae
Description: bacterial LSU rRNA
Rfam family: Bacterial large subunit ribosomal RNA
Source: RNAcentral